Molecule: ribosomal RNA, 717 nt
Filed under: uncultured Bacilli bacterium
Lineage: Bacteria; Bacillati; Bacillota; Bacilli
Description: bacterial SSU rRNA
Rfam family: Bacterial small subunit ribosomal RNA
Source: RNAcentral
AAGUAGAACGCUGAAGCUUGGUGCUUGCACCGAGCGGAUGAGUUGCGAACGGGUGAGUAACGCGUAGGUAACCUGCCUGGUAGCGGGGGAUAACUAUUGGAAACGAUAGCUAAUACCGCAUAACAGUCGACAUUGCAUGAUGUUGAUUUGAAAGGGGCAAAUGCUCCACUACCAGAUGGACCUGCGUUGUAUUAGCUAGUUGGUGAGGUAACGGCUCACCAAGGCGACGAUACAUAGCCGACCUGAGAGGGUGAUCGGCCACACUGGGACUGAGACACGGCCCAGACUCCUACGGGAGGCAGCAGUAGGGAAUCUUCGGCAAUGGACGGAAGUCUGACCGAGCAACGCCGCGUGAGUGAAGAAGGUUUUCGGAUCGUAAAGCUCUGUUGUAAGAGAAGAACGAGUGUGAGAGUGGAAAGUUCACACUGUGACGGUAACUUACCAGAAAGGGACGGCUAACUACGUGCCAGCAGCCGCGGUAAUACGUAGGUCCCGAGCGUUAUCCGGAUUUAUUGGGCGUAAAGCGAGCGCAGGCGGUUAGAUAAGUCUGAAGUUAAAGGCUGUGGCUUAACCAUAGUACGCUUUGGAAACUGUUUAACUUGAGUGCAGAAGGGGAGAGUGGAAUUCCAUGUGUAGCGGUGAAAUGCGUAGAUAUAUGGAGGAACACCGGUGGCGAAAGCGGCUCUCUGGUCUGUAACUGACGCUGAGGCUCGAAAG